Molecule: long non-coding RNA, 206 nt
Filed under: Struthio camelus australis
Lineage: Eukaryota; Metazoa; Chordata; Aves; Struthioniformes; Struthionidae
Description: lncRNA (ENSSCUG00000015464.1)
Source: RNAcentral
UGCAAGUCCAUGUUAAUCUGUAGCUUUCACAUCUGCAGAUUUGUCUGUGGCCUCGAUUGCUUGGUAUGAUGCUGUCUGCAAAUGCAUCUGAACAUCUCCAGUGAAGGUUAUUGUUUGAUGACUCUCUGGGCAAAUCUAGAGAGGUAAGUGACUUACUGGGAGAAAUUCUCGUGACUGUGUCAUUAUCUCCUUUCCAAGAGGUUACU